This is a long non-coding RNA of Macadamia integrifolia, 531 nucleotides long. RefSeq lists it as uncharacterized. The record is from RefSeq and is a predicted model, not a curated record. The transcript is spliced from 2 exons. Lineage: Eukaryota; Viridiplantae; Streptophyta; Magnoliopsida; Proteales; Proteaceae.
UUUGAUAUCUUAAAUAAUAGUUUUGCUCAAUGAUGUUAUACUAUAUUAUUAAUAUAAAAGGUAUUAUUAAAAGUAGUAGUUUUUCACUAUCAAGCCUAAAGGUCUUGAACAUAUAUAACGACAAAGAUCAACCAAAAGGAAUAUUGCUCAGAACAAGUAAGAAAGUUAUCUGUGUUGGUUAAUUCAUCGAGAAUACCCAACCUGUGUCAUUACUGAAUCUACAACCUGCAAAUCUGAUUGCUUGGCAGUAACCAAAAUCUGGAACUCAACACAUCCAAUCACCAAUUCAUGGCUGUUUCAGAGGUAUUUAUAUUUCUUCUUUUGGUACAACACUGAUUGAUAUUUUUGUUUCCGAAUUAUUUAUAUUACCAUCCAAAAGGGAUUAUUUUGAGUGUCAGUAUCAGUUUUAUGCCUGUUGGUGUUUGUAAAAUUAUCAGAAACCAAAUUUGGAAAGAGGAAAAACAUGAAACUGCUUUUUCCCUGUAUGGGAUGAUGUUUAAUUCUCUAAUGGCAAAUGCUUCUUUUAGACCA